AUACGGAGGGUGCAAGCGUUACUCGGAAUCACUGGGCGUAAAGGACGCGUAGGCGGAUUGGAAAGUCAGAUGUGAAAUCCUACAGCUUAACUGUAGAACUGCAUUUGAAACUUCUAAUCUAGAGUAUGGGAGGGGGAGAUGGAAUUAGUGGUGUAGGGGUAAAAUCCGUAGAUAUCACUAGGAAUACCGAAAGCGAAGGCGAUUUCCUGGAACAUAACUGACGCUAAGGCGUGAAAGCGUGGGGAGCAAACGGGAUUAGAAACCCUUGUAGUCC
This 274-nucleotide ribosomal RNA is filed under the name uncultured bacterium. RNAcentral's name for it is "partial 16S ribosomal RNA". It matches the Rfam family "Bacterial small subunit ribosomal RNA", at positions 523 to 796 of the family's 1533-position model. The record is from RNAcentral.